CUGGCUCAGAUUGAACGCUGGCGGAAUGCUUUACACAUGCAAGUCGGGCGGCAGCGCGGGGGCAACCCUGGCGGCGAGCGGCGAACGGGUGAGUAAUACAUCGGAACGUACCCAGUCGUGGGGGAUAGCCCGGCGAAAGCCGGAUUAAUACCGCAUACGCCCUGAGGGGGAAAGCGGGGGACCGGAAACGGCCUCGCGCGAUUGGAGCGGCCGAUGGCGGAUUAGCUAGUUGGUGGGGUAAAGGCCUACCAAGGCGACGAUCCGUAGCUGGUCUGAGAGGAUGAUCAGCCACACUGGAACUGAGACACGGUCCAGACUCCUACGGGAGGCAGCAGUGGGGAAUUUUGGACAAUGGGCGCAAGCCUGAUCCAGCCAUUCCGCGUGAGUGAAGAAGGCCUUCGGGUUGUAAAGCUCUUUCGGC
This 421-nucleotide ribosomal RNA is filed under the name uncultured bacterium. RNAcentral's name for it is "bacterial SSU rRNA". It matches the Rfam family "Bacterial small subunit ribosomal RNA", at positions 19 to 440 of the family's 1533-position model. The record is from RNAcentral.